RNAcentral lists this transfer RNA (489 nucleotides) under uncultured Gammaproteobacteria bacterium. Its description in RNAcentral is "partial 16S-23S ribosomal RNA intergenic spacer". The stretch from base 76 to 149 matches the Rfam family "tRNA". Lineage: Bacteria; Pseudomonadati; Pseudomonadota; Gammaproteobacteria. The record is from RNAcentral.
CCUCCUUAUAACGAAGUUACACUUACAGAGUGUUCACACAAAUAAUUAAUUACGAAAUAUGAGAAGAGAUGCUGAAGGCCUGUAGCUCAGCUGGUUAGAGCGCACCCCUGAUAAGGGUGAGGUCGGCAGUUCAAGUCUGCCCAGGCCUACCAUUGCCUGGUUAGAUUAAGUAACACUCAGUAUGGGGCUAUAGCUCAGCUGGGAGAGCGCUUGAUUUGCAUUCAAGAGGUCCGCGGUUCGAUCCCGCGUAGCUCCACCAUACUGAAACACUCUCUUAAAUAAAACUCUAAAAAAUACACAUUUACACAAAUGUCUAUUCUUUAGAGUCUUUAAUGACUCAUGCUCUUUAACAAUUUGGAAAGCUGAUAAAAAUAAGGUAAACAUUAUUGUUUUAUUUUAAUUUGGUUAUUCAACAAUUUUAAAAAAAUAAAUUUUUGAUUAUUCACUGUAAGAGAAAAACUUCAAAGCCGUUAUUUUNUGUCAAAAACC